UUCGACUCAUCCAGUGGCCUUAGUUGU
This 27-nucleotide non-coding RNA is filed under the name Rattus norvegicus (Norway rat). The record is from RNAcentral. Lineage: Eukaryota; Metazoa; Chordata; Mammalia; Rodentia; Muridae.